UCCAAAUGUAGGGAUGCAUACUCUCGAG
This 28-nucleotide non-coding RNA is filed under the name Mus musculus (house mouse). Lineage: Eukaryota; Metazoa; Chordata; Mammalia; Rodentia; Muridae. The record is from RNAcentral.